UCCCGCUCCCUGAUUGGCCAUCCGCUUCCCCUGAGCAAACCUUUAGAACUCUGAGACAGACAAUAUUCUGUUACAUUGUAGCAAAAUGGCGACUGUCAUUCACAACCCCCUGAAAGCGCUUGGGGAUCAGUUCUACAAGGAAGCCAUUGAACAUUGCCGUAGCUACAACUCGAGGCUAUGCGCUGAACGUAGUGUGCGUCUCCCCUUCCUUGACUCCCAGACUGGCGUCGCCCAGAACAACUGCUAUAUCUGGAUGGAAAAGAGGCAUCGGGGACCAGGCUUAGCUCCAGGGCAGCUGUACACAUACCCUGCCCGCUGCUGGCGCAAGAAGAGGCGACUGCACCCGCCUGAAGAUCCCAAGCUGAGGCUGCUGGAGAUAAAGCCUGAAGUGGAUCUGCCCCUAAAGAAAGAUGGAUUCACAUCAGAAAGUACCACACUGGAAGCCUUAUUACGAGGUGAAGGGAUUGAGAAAAAAGUGGAUGCCAAAGAAGAGGAGAGCAUCCAGGAAAUACAGAGGGUUCUGGAAAAUGAUGAAAACGUAGAAGAAGUGAAUGAAGAGGAAGAUUUAGAAGAAGAUACUCCUAAACGAAAGAACAGGACCAGAGGACGGGCCCGUGGUUCUGCAGGUGGCAGGAGAAGGAAUGAUGCUGCCUCUCAGGAAGACCAAGAUAAACCGUACGUCUGUGAUAAUAGUUACAAACAAAAGCAUAACCCCAAAACCUCCGACAAAGUCUGUGGCAAACGUUACAAGAACCGGCCAGGGCUCAGCUAUCAUUAUGCUCACACACACCUAGCCAGUGAAGAAGGGGAUGAAGCCCGGGAGCAAGAGACUCGGUCCCCCCCUGUCCACAGAAAUGAAAACCACAGACAUGCAGAAACUCAGAUGAAGUCCAGAGAAGUAAAGGUGACUGAAGUAGCAAGUGAUAGAGCCCAGAAAGGACCAGAUGGGACUGUUAUUCCCAAUAAUUACUGUGACUUCUGCUUGGGAGGUUCAAGCAUGAACAAAAAAAGUGGCCGGCCAGAAGAACUAGUGUCCUGUGCUGACUGUGGACGCUCUGCUCAUUUGGGAGGAGAAGGCAGGAAGGAGAAGGAGGCGGUGGCCGCAGCGCGAAGUACGGAGGACUUGUUCGGUUCCACGUCUGAAAGUGACACCUCAACUUUCCACGGCUUUGACGAGGAUGAUUUGGAAGAGCCUCGCUCCAGUCGAGGAGGACGCUACAGUGGCAGGGGCUCUCCCACGGCAGAUAAAAAAGGCGGCUGCUAAAUCCAUUCAACAAACUCUGGCCCAUGGGCGGUAGCCCUUUGUACUUUGGUUGUUGUUCUGGUCCCAUUAAAAAAAAAUAGAACUUUAGAUUACCUCUUCUCUCCCACCCACCACCUUCCCUGCCUUUUCCUCACAUCCUCCAUAUUCUCAUGUCCCUUUCCCUUUCCCUCCACACUCCUCCCUCUCAUUACAAGUUUUGGUGAUAUAUACCAAAAGCACAAACUUUAAAAAUUCAGAAAACUCAAAAGAUGACUCCCUCUCUCCUCAGAGAGAACUUCAAUUUAAAGAUUUUUCUUCUGGAAAUCAGAAAUCAUGUUGGUUAUUUUUUGGGAACAAACAGCUAGGGUAUGUACAUCUUCCCUAAACCAUUAAAAAAUUUAAGUGGAGUCAUGUUUUUCAUUUUUUCAUAUUUAUUGGCAAAAUGAUGAGAACACUAACAGACAGGUUGGAGAAAAACAACCAACAGAAAUAAGGUUUUAAAAAUUAUUAUUUAUACAAUCUAGAUAUUAUUAGAAAUAGAUUCUUUUAAAAAUAAAUCAACUUAAUACCAUCCCAUCUAGGGGAGGAAAAGGCACUGGAAGGAGAAUUGUCCCAAGGAAACUUAGUUAGGGUGACUUCUGUGAUGUGAAAUUUUUGAUUUGGUGUCCCAUUCGAUGUCUGUGGAUCCUCACCCCAUCCAGCAGUCACACCUCUCCCUUCUUUCCCUUUCCUUCUUUGCCCUUCCCCUUCUUCCUUGACAGCCCCUGUCAGUUUGGAAGCCACAGCAGCUCUGGAGAAGUGACAGGACGGGAAAGGCCAGGUUUCCAUGCAUCCACCUUCAGACACCUCAGUAUCCAUCCAAAAGCAAUCGCCUCCUCUUCAGCUCCUCCUCAGGCAAUGCUGCUGGCUUUUCCUAAAAAAAAAAAAAAUAAAAAAAAAUUGUUUUCUUCUUCUCACUUCUCCUGUGGGUGAAGAGCAAUGUCCAAGGGCAGGAAUGGAAUAGAAGUGGAAUAUUUGGAACUCAACAUUGAUGAAACAGCCAGAGGACAUGAAUCCUAGAAGAAAUGAAAAGGAAAUAUACCUCACUUGUACAUUUCCCAUCCCAUUUUAGAAAAUGUACAUAAAUACCCUUUGGAUUGUCAGGCCGUCCGUAUUUCUUCUUUAUUCUCCUUCUUCUUCUUUUUUUAUAUGUAUAUAGUGCCGGCCAGGCACCUUGUUUUAUGUUUCCAAUAGCACAUCCCGAAAUUAACCAAAGCAAUACUUGCUCAACUUUCCUGGGCGACAGAGAAGAGAAGUCACCUCUCUGAUUGGCUGUCCCAAGAAAGAACAGAUGAGCAGUCCUCAUUCAAAAGUCGACUCUCUGUGCUCUGGGGACUCCGACAUCCUUCAAGCAAGCCAUUUCUGAAGAAGGUGAAAAGAAGCCAGGAUGAUUUGAACCUCCUUCUUCUCCUCCUCAUUCUUCUUCUUCUUCUCCUCCUCCUCUUCCUCUUCCCUUUGCCUGGCCCCUUCCCAUGCCUGUGUUUCAACUAACACAGGAACCUGGACCAUGGAAAACCCUCCUGCUCUGCUCAGAGAAUUCUUGGAAAGGGCCUAAGCUUGUGCAAUAAGAAGAAUUUUUUUUUAACCUUUGAUUUUGGUUCCUUUAAGUGUCUGUGAAAAAGUACCCAGGUCAGACUGGAAUUGCUCUACAAUAGAAGUAACUGAAUACAAACUGAAAAAAAAGUUAACUAUUUUAUUUAUUUCAAUAUUUAAAAGGAAAAAAAAGUGCUGACCUUGCACAGUAUUUUUGUUUAAAGUACAUUGUACUUCAAAAGAUAAAAGCAGGUUUGUGAAGAAGUGAAAUCAAAAAAGCACUUAAUGUAAAAUAAAGACAAUAUUAACGUUAAGAAAGAAACCACGUUUUUAUUACGAAAAUAAAGAUCAACUCUGCUCCCUCAUGCUUUUAAGGAAGCCAUUCAUGUAUGUGCUCUAGGUAUUUUUAUUUCUGCAAGUUGGAUAUGGUGGUAAGUGAGGAGUGUUUUUUUCUCUUAUUUUUAUUCCCUCAAAGUCACUUGAAUCAAUAUUGACUAUGUACUAAAAAAAAAAAACCCAAAACAAAACAAAUCCCCCAAAUUUGACUGAAGUGAAUUAGCCAUGGGAUGAUCAACAAGCCCUGCCCCCAAACAAGCCCCAUUUUGUGCGAAAACAAAGAAGCAAGCUGGCACCCAGCUGUGGAUUUUCAUGGGGCUUUAACACAAUUGCAUCCAAGAAAUGAAAAAUCUCUAUCCAUUCUAGUAGUUAUGAUACUUUAAAAAAUUCAGAAAUAAAACUAAAGAUCAUUUGAAAUUAGAGCACCAUUCUAUUUUUUUUUUUAAAUUCAGAAAUAAAACUAAGGAUCAUCAGAAAUUGAAGCAUUACUGGUUUCCCACAUUUUGGGGGUGGUAAUCUUUCAUGUCUCUGUAGAAAUGCUUAGCAAAGAUCUCAUGGUGCAGAGCUGGCCUGAAGCACCUGUAGUGCAAAUGGAAGGUCGGGUUCAGCAAGAACAAAGAAAGGUCUGAGUAACCAAAAUGCCAAAUUCAGGUUCCUGUUGGGGGCAGAGAGUGCAAGGCUAGAGUGCUAAUAGUUAUUAUAAUAAUAUGAUUAAAAUAUUAUGAUGAUUUUAUAAUAACUAUUAAUAACAUUAUUAUUAUAAGAUAUAAACUAUUAUAAUAACAGAAGAAAAACAACAAUAAUAACAAUGAAAGCUAGCAUCUGUGUAGUGCUUUAAGGUUUGCAAAGUGCUAUACAUAUGUUAUUUCAUUUGAUUUGAAUACUUUGUCAUGUGGUCCUGCCAAUGGAGUUAAAAAAUAAUAAUCAUUUGAGUAAUAUUUUAAUAUUGUGCAAAUGGCCUUAUGAAUGGAUCUGGACUGAAGUGUCUGGAUUACUAGGUUUACCCCAGUUUGAUUACAAGCAUGGCCUCUUUACACUUCUGUGCUAUUGAAUGUCCUUCCCUUGUAAUAAUAGGAAUGGCAAUAAACAUACAAUUUGUUUGACACUGGAA
Molecule: RNA transcript, 4262 nt
Organism: Antechinus flavipes (yellow-footed antechinus)
Lineage: Eukaryota; Metazoa; Chordata; Mammalia; Dasyuromorphia; Dasyuridae
Gene: DPF3
Gene name: double PHD fingers 3
Exons: 12
Source: RefSeq, a predicted model, not a curated record